Aedes aegypti (yellow fever mosquito) is the source of this 209-nucleotide long non-coding RNA. RefSeq lists it as uncharacterized. The transcript has 3 exons. Lineage: Eukaryota; Metazoa; Arthropoda; Insecta; Diptera; Culicidae. The record is from RefSeq and is a predicted model, not a curated record.
GCACAUUUUCCUGAAACCAUGAAAAACACUUGGUCUGAACGCCGACAAAUUGAUUAUACACCUAGGGAACAGAUUGUACUUGAUACGUUGCUAGAUAAAUAGAUUUUCUAGCCAGUACUGCUACGUAGAAGUAUUGCUCAAUCGAAGCGAGUUCUUCUUCUUUCUGGCGUUACGUCCCCACUGGGACAGAGCCUGCUUCUCAGCUUAGU